GUACACGUGGAUCAUCUACCUCUUAUUGGGGAGUACCUGGGAAACCGGGGCUAAUUACCUGCAUAAGCCUGAAAAGGGAAAGCAGUAAUGCGCUGAGAGAGGAGUCCGCGGCCGAUUAGCUAGUUGGUAGCGGUAAUGGCCUACCAAGGGCAAUGAUCGGUAGCCGGCCUGAGAGGGCUACACGGCCACACUAGGGCAUCUGAAACACGGGCCAGACUCCUACUGGGAGGCAGCAGUCGGGGAAUCUUGCACAAUUGGAGGAAUACUCUGAUGCAGCGACAGCCGCGUGAGCGAUGAAUGCCCUU
Molecule: ribosomal RNA, 305 nt
Filed under: uncultured bacterium
Lineage: Bacteria
Description: bacterial SSU rRNA
Rfam family: Bacterial small subunit ribosomal RNA
Source: RNAcentral